RNAcentral lists this microRNA precursor (140 nucleotides) under Dasypus novemcinctus (nine-banded armadillo). RNAcentral's name for it is "miRNA (ENSDNOG00000027680.1)". The record is from RNAcentral. Lineage: Eukaryota; Metazoa; Chordata; Mammalia; Cingulata; Dasypodidae.
CAGGAAACCCAGUUAAAUGUGAAUUUCAGAUCAACAACAAAUAACUCCAGUAUGAGCAUGUCCCAUGCUAUAUUUGGGACAUAUUUAUGCUAAAAUUCAUUUGUUGCUGAUCUGAAAUUCAAGUUUAACUGGUGUCCUGU